RNAcentral lists this non-coding RNA (814 nucleotides) under Amblyomma mixtum. The record is from RNAcentral. Lineage: Eukaryota; Metazoa; Arthropoda; Arachnida; Ixodida; Ixodidae.
GUAAAGUCUGGCAUAACUUUCUUUAAUAGAUAGAAUUAACCGAUAGACAUGAGUUGAAAACGUUUAACGUUUUCAGCUCAUUCUAAAUUAAAUAAUUUUUUAUUUCCAGCAAUAAUUAGGCUUGGUUUGAUAAAAAAAUUACUAUAAAUUUUUUAUGAAUUUGCUAAAAAAACAAAAACAGAAAAUAAAUUUUAUUUAAUAAUACAAGAUUAUUGAAAUUUAUAGUUUAAUUUAGCUAAUUUUGUGCCAGCAGCAGCGGUUAAACAAAAGAAUUUAUUUUUUAGGCUAAAAAUUUAAAAUAAAAGUAAAUAAUAUUUUUUUUUUCAAAAAGGUGAAAUUUUUGAAAAAGAUUAUUAAAAGUUUAAAUAAAAAUUUCCUAAAAUAAACUAGGAUUAGAUACCCUAUUAUUAGAAAUAAUAUAUUGUUAGUAUAUAAAACUUACGAAAACAAAAAAUUAUGGCGGUAUCUUAAGCUUUUCAGAGGAAUUUGCUCUUUAAUGGAUAAAACACCCAAAUCUUACUAAAGUUGGUAAAGACAGCUUGUAUACCACUAUUAAAGCAAUUAUUAAUUAUAAUUGCUGCAAAUUUUAUACAAAAAAUAAGUUAAGUCAAGGUGCAGCUUAAACUUUAGGAUGAAGUGAAUUACAAUUCUCUUUAGACAAUUAUUUUUUUCUUAAAAAUAAAAAAAUUAGGAUUUGAAAGUAAAAAUUUUAAUAGAAUGAUUAUUUGAAUUAAGCUCUGAGAUAUGUACAUAUCGCCCGUCGCUCUUUUACAAAGAUAAGUCGUAACAAAGUUAAAAUACUGGAAAGUGUUUU